This 449-nucleotide ribosomal RNA is filed under the name uncultured bacterium. RNAcentral describes it as "SSU rRNA". It matches the Rfam family "Bacterial small subunit ribosomal RNA", at positions 26 to 518 of the family's 1533-position model. The record is from RNAcentral.
AGAGCGAACGCUGGCGGCAGGCCUAACACAUGCAAGUCGAGCGCCGUAGCAAUACGGAGCGGCAGACGGGAGAGUAACACGUGGGAACGUGCCCUUUGGUUCGGAACAACACAGGGAAACUUGUGCUAAUACCGGAUAAGCCCUUACGGGGAAAGAUUUAUCGCCAAAGGAUCGGCCCGCGUCUGAUUAGCUAGUUGGUGAGGUAACGGCUCACCAAGGCGACGAUCAGUAGCUGGUCUGAGAGGAUGAUCAGCCUCACUGGGACUGAGACACGGCCCAGACUCCUACGGGAGGCAGCAGUGGGGAAUAUUGGACAAUGGGCGCAAGCCUGAUCCAGCCAUGCCGCGUGGAUGAUGAAGGCCCUAGGGUUGUAAAGUCCUUUCGGCGGGGAAGAGUAAUGACGGUACCCGCGAGAAGAACGCCCCGGCUAACUUCGCGCCAGCAGCCGC